CAGUCGCCACGGGAAUACGGAGGGUGCAAGCGUUAAUCGGAAUUACUGGGCGUAAAGCGCACGCAGGCGGUUUGUUAAGUCAGAUGUGAAAUCCCCGAGCUUAACUUGGGAACUGCAUUUGAAACUGGCAAGCUAGAGUCUUGUAGAGGGGGGUAGAAUUCCAGGUGUAGCGGUGAAAUGCGUAGAGAUCUGGAGGAAUACCGGUGGCGAAGGCGGCCCCCUGGACAAAGACUGACGCUCAGGUGCGAAAGCGUGGGGAGCGAACAGGAUUAGAUACCCCUGUAGUCCCUGUCUCUUAUAU
RNAcentral lists this ribosomal RNA (301 nucleotides) under uncultured bacterium. RNAcentral's name for it is "partial 16S ribosomal RNA". It matches the Rfam family "Bacterial small subunit ribosomal RNA", at positions 509 to 809 of the family's 1533-position model. The record is from RNAcentral.